CCGAUGAUGCGUCCGCAAGAUGAGGGCAAUGGAGAGUGAGAUCUGACCUCGCGUCUGUAGUUACCUGCCCAACAACACAGGGAGAGGCAGUAACUUGACCGGCUCCGUCUUCGGCUUCGUUCUGUCCUUUUGGCAGCCUGAAUUGGGGUCCUGAGCUUUUACUUUCACACCGUCCUCCACAGUUUCCUAAAUGGGAUCUGGAAUGCUUCUUCCCUGGCACGCCUGUGAGAUCUGAGGCAGAAGCCAGUGUACAGAAACAGGUGUCGCAUCAGUAGGCAUUCUCCAGAGGCCGACCAAUAUAUUGGAGAGACGGAUUAAUAGACGGAUGAUAGUGGGUUUGUCAGGGGAAUUGGCCCAUGCGGUUAGGGAGGCCGAGAAGUCCCGGGAGGGAUGCCAUCUGCAAGCCGGAGACCUGGGAUGCUGGCAGCCUGGCUCGGUCCAAGUCAGGAAACGGAAGAACCAGGGGAGCUAAAGGUGUGACUCAGGCCAGGGCUGAAAGCUGAGAAUCCAAGGAGCCGCUGGUGUUAAGUCCUGGAGUCCCAAGGCUGGGGGCCCUGUCCAAGGGCAGGAGGAGGAAGAGAGAGUCCCAGCGCCAGGAACAAGAGCAGAACUUCUUU
RNAcentral lists this long non-coding RNA (617 nucleotides) under Homo sapiens (human). Its description in RNAcentral is "LHRI_LNC66.1". The record is from RNAcentral. Lineage: Eukaryota; Metazoa; Chordata; Mammalia; Primates; Hominidae.